ACUCCAAACAACGGUGUGGUGACGAGUGACCUUUUCGAAUGACUCGGGAACUGAUUCAGGUGAGUGCUGCGGAUGAACAGGUGAGGAGUGUGCCUUCGAGGCUCAGAGACCUGGCUGACGGCCUAAUGCUGGGAGGCACGAGGAAGAAAUGGACAGCAGAGAGGGCGUUGGUGAAGUGUUAUGAAGAGCACACCCAUUGUCUCAUUCCAUAUAAGUUAAUAAGUCCCUUUCCAUCCUCUGAAAUGGCAGUGAAGCACUGAAAGAAACAGCUCAAGUGGAACAGCAUGGACCCGAGGUAAAUGCACCAGAUUUACAGCUGUAUAUGUGUAGACUCACACCCUCACCCACAUCAUGUUUCAAUAACCCUUCAUGGCAGUGCUCUAUAAAUGGCUGUCAGCUUAACAAACAAUCUGCUGCGACACAAAAUAGCUAUGAAAAUGUACAUGAGCUACACCAAAACAACACCAAAUAUCUCUGAUAGAUAUGACUGGAACGAUCACAACUGUUCAUUCCAUGCUCAGUGAAUAGGGUUUUCAGACUCAUUUAACCCAGCGCUAAUAUUCAGAGCUAAGUCACUAGGAGAAGCUCGUCAUUUCUCCCUCUCUGCAUCAAUGUGAUUUUCUUUAUCUGUCAGAGUGCAGCUUGCACAUGGAAUCUGCCCCGAGUACACGGCUGCUCCAGUGUGGGUGGAGAGUGGGCGAAGGUGCGUGGCAUCUGCCACAGUCCACCGCCUGAGGAGAAAUAGCAACACUUCACAUUCAAACUCACUUCCACUGCAGCCUUUACAAUGUUAGGCACUGGAUAGAUUG
Molecule: long non-coding RNA, 809 nt
Organism: Cyprinus carpio (common carp)
Lineage: Eukaryota; Metazoa; Chordata; Actinopteri; Cypriniformes; Cyprinidae
Source: Ensembl